CAGUAGCCGCGGUAAUACGUAGGGUGCAAGCGUUAAUCGGAAUUACUGGGCGUAAAGCGUGCGCAGGCGGUUAUAUAAGACAGAGGUGAAAUCCCCGGGCUCAACCUGGGAACUGCCUUUGUGACUGCAAGGCUAGAGUACGGCAGAGGGGGAUGGAAUUCCGCGUGUAGCAGUGAAAUGCGUAGAUAUGCGGAGGAACACCGAUGGCGAAGGCAAUCCCCUGGGCCUGUACUGACGCUCAUGCACGAAAGCGUGGGGAGCAAACAGGAUUAGAUACCCCAGUAGUCCCUGUCUCUUAUAC
This 301-nucleotide ribosomal RNA is filed under the name uncultured bacterium. RNAcentral's name for it is "partial 16S ribosomal RNA". It matches the Rfam family "Bacterial small subunit ribosomal RNA", at positions 509 to 807 of the family's 1533-position model. The record is from RNAcentral.